This is a long non-coding RNA of Gorilla gorilla gorilla (western lowland gorilla), 11993 nucleotides long. RefSeq lists it as uncharacterized. The record is from RefSeq and is a predicted model, not a curated record. The transcript is spliced from 2 exons. NCBI's taxonomy places the organism in Eukaryota, Metazoa, Chordata, Mammalia, Primates, Hominidae.
GGCUGUAAUUUAGUUCAAUUCAGAACUGCAGAUAGUACAGCUUCCACAGGAGCAAGGGAUGUCUGAGCACAAGUGGCUGAGUUCCGAGUGACUUUAUGAAGCACUUUCUACGUUCCUCUCCGGCAUGAAAACAGGAAUUCUGCACCUGCAUCAUGGACAGUCUGGCAAAAGCCUCUGCUCUGCCUCCGGGGACAAGAAACUAGAGCAAAUAACCGUUUUGAAAUUAGAUCCUGGCAAAAUUACCAACAAUCAAUGAUGGAUACUGAAGGGAGAUUGAUUUAAAUCUUCAAUGACAGUUGUACAGAAGUUGAAGAAACACGUCGUCUUUCCAAAGAAGAGUGAGUAGCUUGGUUGGUGGUACCCUAAAAUUAGGGCAUGAUUAAGGUACGUCAUUUCUUUUAGUUCAAUCAAAGUGCUUUGCUGUUUCCAUUUCAGAGAAUUUCUUAUUCUUUUUUUCAAUCUCUCUCUCUUCCUCUUAUUCCUCUCAUUAGUAGAUGUCUUUUAUAACUGAUGUCAUUUACUGUCCUUUCAUCAAAUGUAUGCCACAUCACUUAGGCGAACCAGCAGACAGGGCACCAAAAUACACAUUAGAGGAGACUGGCUUCCAUGAGACGCUUCGACUGUCUCAUCGGGGCACUUGUAAUAAGCAUCUUGGUGCCACUGAAUGCAAUGCUGUAUUCAAAUAAUAGCUUUCAUCUUCACUCUUUUUAAAUAUAAAAGUAAACCUUGAAGCCCUUUGAAGGACCUAACCAAACAACAUACCUAUGAAAAUAGAUCAGUAAGGCUUUGAGAAACAUUCUUAAGUAAAAUCUGUAAAGCAUCUUUGCAUUUUUUUUCAAGAAAGACCUCCAGGUAGAUGAUGGCUUUUAAUAAGACACAUGACAAUCUCAAUUACAAGAAUCAUUAGUGUGUGUCCUGUGCGCCAUUUUAUGUUCCCAGCAGGAUAUAUCUUUUCUCAUCUGGGGUUUCCAGGGCUGUCUACUGUUCUCUAUGUGUAAAACGUAUUUAAGUGUUCCCCCAAUGCUGCACUAAUGUUGAAACAAAACAAAACAAAAAUGAAGAAACCUUUGUCAAGUGGUCAGACAGACUGGAACUAGAGGAUUAUAGGUAAGAGAGAUAAAAUGAAGGGUUGAAAGCUAUAAUUUCUAUUUAUGUGGUGGCAACCAAAUCAGCUGUUGGAGUCAGGCAAUUUAAAGAUGUGGCUACUGGAGCUCAGAGUCUGGGAAGAAGACACUUCUGCGUCUGACAGUGAAUCAGGCUCCCAGUUUUGAAGAUGUGCUGUAGGUAGUUCUCGCUGAAUCCAUUUUCCAGUUAGUUUCUAUUCCCCGCCCCAUUCCUGUGUCCCCACACUUUCCACUUGAUUUUAUCUCUUUGACAAUUCUAUAUUUUACUUUCCUUCCUCUCAUUCCCCUUUUCCCACCCCCUUUUUUUACUGUAGUUCUUGGCCUCUGACUACUGUUCCAUGCUGGAUGUCCCCAGAAAAUAGAGUAUGUUUAAAAAGGAGACAGUGCAUCUCAGAAGGGCCUCCCCAGUCCACUAGUCCAUUUUUUAAUGUGUUGUGCUCUAUGGGUGUCAGGAUUAUUUGUAGAUGAAGUAAUUUGAGGCAUGAAUUUUGAUAGAAGCAGGAUCACCAACAAAAUGAUAAAUGUAGGUACCUGUCUACCUUGCAUAAUAUUCACUAUGAUCUUGAGAAUUUCAAUGUAUAAUUUGUCUUUAUUCUUAUUUUUCAUUAGAAUUAACAGAAUCUCAGAGCUGGUAGAAGGUAUAGAAACUGUAUAUACAACUCUCAUAUUCAGAUGAAGAAAAUGAUGCACAAAAAAUCAACUGUCCUAAGCCAUUCAGCUUGUCUAUAAGUGCUGUUGGCUUAAUUAUAGUUUUGCAUAUAUUUAGGCAAAGAAAAUACUUUCUCAGAAACUGGUUAGGACUGUUUGAGAAGAAAUAUAAUCAUCAAAAUAUAUUCACAGUAAAAUGUAACCGUCCAUCAUUCAACAUAGGCAAGAAUAUGUAUUGAAUUGCCUGAGUGUAUUAUUCAUAUAGCAAAACUUACUUGAAUUUCUAAUAAAUCUUCUGACCUCUGUAUAUGUAUAAAAUAUAUAAACCAACCAAAUUCUGUACAUAAAUAUAUUUUUGGAUCCCAGUACAAUCCCUAUUUCACUUUUGUGUAUUCCAGUUAUUUAUUACUCACAGUUCUGUAGUUUUAACCAGAACAAAGGGAUUACCCAGAAGAAAAGAAGGUAAGCUAUUUCAUCAGUUUUGGUGGAAAUCAGAAGUUUUUUUUUCUAUUAUUAGCUUUGUAUUCUUAAAAAAGAAAAAAGAAGGAGAAAAAAAUCUCAUCUUCUCAUUUAUAAGAAUUCCCAUAAAAAUUGGCAGUGGUGAGGUGGGGAGGAAAUGUUUACCAAUAAACAGCUAGAUCCUAUUAUUGGAGACAAUCAGUUUUAUUCUACAGAAAAUAUAGUUUGUUCUUGAAGAUUUAAUAGAUAUAAUAUUUUUUAAACCAACAUAUUAAAUAUACCAGUAAAUAUUUUUGUUAAACAAGGCUUUUAAAAUUUAAAUUAUACCCCUAAACUGGCUUUCUAGUUUUUCUGGAGAAAUAAAGCAAUUUUAAAGGAAAUAUCCACUCAGAUUAAUACUGCAAAUAUCAUACAAAAAUGUGUGUGGCGAUAUUACUGAAAAUGAGGAUUUUUGAAAACUAGAAGAGCAAAAAGUCGUUGCUCCAAAAGGCUUCAAGACUGCCUUAGGAUUAACAAUGCAAGUCUUCAAUGUAUUUAGGUAAUCAUAAUUUGAUUAGCUUUCUAAACCUAAACAUAUUUUGAUUCAAAUGUUUAAAAUAUGGUCAUCUCUUCAGUUAAAGAUGAACAUUUUGAUGAAAUAACAAUACUUAAAGCGUUCUCCGUCUCCACAAUUAAGUGCUACCUGUUAUUUAUUCAGAGCAUAUGUUUCAGUCUCAAAACACCAAGGACACAUCUCAGUGAAAUAAAAAUAAUCACUUUUUUUAAGAAAUCAGAAUCAUGUGGCAGUCGGCAGGCUUAAUUUAUAUUUUAUGGUCUCCAAAUUCAGAUGAAUAUCAUCAAGAUCUGAAUUGUCUCAAGGGCUGUCAUAAUUUAAAUAAUAAUAUAUCAAAAAUAUACACUACUAUCAUAUAAUUAAUUUGUAUAUAUGGAAAAUUGAAUUCUCUUAGCCAAAAAAGUACAGGGAAAUCAUCACAAAGGAGGAUGAACAUGAUUAUUUUUUCCUGUUACUUCUAUAGACUUCUCUGUAACAACUGAUAUGAAGAUAUCAUCAGAGUUUGUAGGUGUGCAGUAUCUGUGGUAUUAAUAAAGGUAUCUAUAAUCAAAUAUAGCAGAAAUAAUUAGGCUUCAUGCCAACUGCCUUUCCUAGAAUCUUCAGGGACAGGAAGUGCAGCUGUGUAUCACCUGCCCAUAUUCUACAAAUAGCACUGAAGGAUAUAACUCAAUGAAACUUGAAAUCAGAUUGCACAAAAAUACAUUAUUCCCAAUGUUCUAUUUUUAUAUUGCUAGAUAAAUUGUAAAUUCACAGCAACAUUUGUCUACUGUUAUCUUUAUGUUGCAAAAUUACACUAAAUUUUGAGUGACAUCUUUAGCCAGGGUAGCCUAGAAACAUCCUUUGGCUAACAAAUAAAAAGGUUAUAAUGUACAGUAGAGAAAACAUUUCUAGAAAAUAUGCCUUUCACUGUGCCUUUAAAAACCAAGAAUUUUUUAAAGGCACAGUGAAAGGUAUAUUUUGAUCAACAGCUUAUAUUGUUUAGAAAUUUGGCUGUGGUUUAGUAUUUUGUCAACUAAUUUUCAAUCACAAAGAAAAUUUAGAAAGAGAUGAAAUAGAAAUAAAAGUCUUAUUAGGAAUAGUAAUUAUAUAGAUAGUGAAAUGACUACUUUUUUUAUAAGGAGCAGUAAUUUCAUAAUGUAAUAACUUCCUUUUCAGUAAAAGAAAGUGAUUAACAAAGCUAAACAUUCACACAAGGCAAUGUACCACAUAAUUCAAAAUGCCAGUGCAAAAAUGUUAGUUAGUCAAUAAAGAUUCAAUGCUUGUCUGUAAUAAUUAGUCAUAGUUUCUGCACUUAGAAGGAAAGCUCUCCCCAGGAGUUGAGAAUUAGAGUGGAAGUGGAGAUUUUGAGUAUAAGAAAAGUGAAUUUCACUCAUGUUGCAGGGUUACACUGCUAUGAUGGAAGGCUUUCAUUUUUCAAGUAGGAAACAUGGAAAUUACAGUAACUAUGGCCAAUUCAUAUUGGCCUAGAGAACACUUUAUUUUUCUCUGGGCCCGAAUUUCUCAACAGGUGCCACUAUUGAUAUUUUGGACCAGAUAAUUCUUUGUCCUGAGGAAAUUUGCUGUGCAUUGGAGGAUUUUUAUCAGCAUUAUUGACCUCUCCCCAGUAGAUGCCAAUAGUAUCCCCUCCCACUAUGGUGAUAUCCAUAUAUUGCCGAAUGUUCCCUUGAGAACAAAAUCUGCUUAGAUUAUUUGUCUAGGCGAUUUUGCUUUCUUCAUUUAUCUUUAUGCAAAAUUAGUUUGAUUGGUUAUUUGCAUUCACAAUAAUAGGAAUUUUGCACAGAGAAAGUUUAUAUAAUAAGUUAAGAAUAGCUCUACAAUGCAAAUGUUUCUGCAGGAUAUAAAAAUAAGAAUCGCAAUGGUACAUUCAUCUCGAAAUAUUUGCUACACAACACACGUUGAAUGUUGAAAGAUGUUGAAUGUAGGCUCUUAUUUUGUGCCUUAUUUGAAAAAUUUGCAGUGUAAAUAAGGUAAAUAGAUGCAAAAUGUUUGCCUUUGGGUAUGAAAAAGUUUUCUUGUGUAUUAUAGUUAAAUAUGGUAAUAGGUUUUUAGAGGUAACUUUCUGUGGCAGUGAACAAAACAAGACCCUACUAUGAUGAUUCUACAUGGAGCUGAUUUUAACAGAAGAGUAGCCUUCAUUGUGCCUUUCCAUAAAUGUUGGCUUUAUCCAUGUAUUAAAGCACAGAUUUCUUGGGAGACCACAAAGAUUGAGAGUGAAAGAUAAAAUCUGAAGAGAACCUGGGAAAUCAUCAUUAAAUUGAGCUGAUAAUCAUGAUAAUCAUGUCUAAAAUAUGGACUGUUAACUUUUUUUAAACUAAGAUGAGAUGGCAGAGAAGCUAUUAACUUAAUAUGCCUCUCUCUCUCUCUCUCUCUCUCUCUCUGUGUGUGUGUGUGUGUGUGUGUGUGUGUGUGUGUGUGUGUUUUGGUGGAAAUAAAUUGAUAAGAAAGGAAAAAAUAAUAGUCACAUGGAAGCUUAGGAGGCAAGUCAAUAACAGAAAUAUCUAGGUAGUAUGAAAUCUUCAGCUUUACACAAUAGAAAAAAGUAUAUUAUAUGGAAUUGAUCCAUUAUUGUUUCAAAAAUGGUGAAAGUUGUUAAACCAGUAACUUUUAGCUUAGUUUAUCUGUUAAAAAAAAAAGCUACAUGAACAAUUCAAGAUUUAGUAAAUGUUGAAGAUUUCCCUUCAGUAUAAAUUUAUAAAUAUCUAAUGAGUGUGUGUGUUUGUGUAUAUGGCUUCCUCAUUGAGCACCUGAAACGACUUAGCUAAUUUGCCCUUCAUUCUUUAUGACUUUCAUGGAUAAUUUCCCAAAGCUCCUAAGGAUUAUUUAUUUAUUUAUUUAUUUAUUUACUUACUUACUUAUUUUUGGGACUGGUUCUCUCUCUGUUGCCCAGGCUGGAGUGCAGUGCCGUGAUUAUGGCUCAUUGCAGCCUCAACCUCCCCCACUCAGGCGAUCCUCCUACCUCAGCCUCCAGAGUAGGUGGAACCACAGGUGUGUGCCACCACAUCCAGCUAUUUUUAAAAAAAAUUAUUUGCAGAAAUGAAAUCCUCCUGUAUUGUUCAGGCUGGUCUUGGUAUCCUGAACUCAAGUGAUCCUCCCAGUUUGGCCUCCAAAAGUUUUGGCAUUACAGGCAUGAGCCACUUCACCUCACCAGGUCACUUACUUUAAAACUCUCUACUAGGUGAUGUGAAGGCCCCAAAAUUUAAAUCUACCAAUAUUUCUCUUUUAUUAUAUUUUUAAAAUUUGAGGUUUUAAUAAGCUAUCUAGAUCCAUGAAUAUUAAAAUAGAUUUUUCUUUUGUAGACCCAGCAUUGUUCACUGAGGAUAGAUGUGGGAUCAGUUCCUUUCAGGUAUUAAUUGUAAUGUUGCUAAACAUAUUACCAUGAAUCUGUAGUAUCAAAAUUCAGAUAUUAAACUUGGGAGGAUUUAUAGUCCAACUUGUAGUAACUAAAUAAUAAAAUGGUGGCAUGAUUAUAGUUCAAUUUUUUUCUUUAUGAAGAGCUUAGGGUAACAAUGCUUUGUUCCUGUAUGUUGCACUUUUAAAUUACAGUAAAGUCUUUCCCUGAAAACAAAUAAUACGGCAUGCAAUAAAGGGGAAAAGUGGAUAUGAGAACUUAUCCUUGCCAGUAUAUUUGAAAUGUGACUAAACAUUUUUACAGUGAAUAUGUUCAAAUUGAAAAGAAAUUACAAUUUCCUUUAACCAAGUACUGGGUCACUAUUUCUUCCAACUUAGUUAUUGAAGAAACACUCAGCUACCAUAGAUUUGCCAGGCCAAAGUAUCUCAAACUUUAGCUGUGUCAGAAUUACUUGGAGGGUUUAUUGGAAUGCAUAUUGCUGGGCUUGAUGUUCAGAGUUUCUGAGAACUUGCAUUCCUAACAAGUUCUCCGGUGAUGCAGUAGUAUAGAGAGUCAUUGUUCUGGAGACAUGCUUAAUUUUAGGUACAACUUAUUUUGACUUGAGAACUUUCUCUUUAUUAAAAUAGCAAAGGCAAUGUAGAUAAAAAUAAAUAAAUUGUAUUCAUUUGGGCUUUCUCAUUUGCAACAGGCCACAUCAGCAUUACCACUGGAAAGAAUGACUUAGGAGAGUGGUUGUUUUAAUGAGAGAUUCUUUACAUGCCACUGAAAGACAGGAAACGUUAAAAGAAAAACAAAACUGAUAAUCAACUCCUAAACGGGGAUUUGAAUUAGCUAAAAUCUUUUUUUUUUUUCAAAUGCCUACUACAAAGUCAAAGUUCAUUCUCCUAGACUAGCAAAUACUUUGUUAUCAAUAUUUGUUUAUAUUUUCCCAUAAUUAUCCUUAUUUCACCUGCCACAAAAGAAUUAAUCAUUUUAUGUCCUCAGUCUUCAGCCCUCCCUAAAGUACCCAAUAGCUCUUGUCCUUCUAUAAGUCAUCACCUACGUGUACUUUAAGACCCCACUAAUUCAAUAAUUUUAUUUAAACGUUGACAGGAUUCUAUUAAAUUUAAGGUAUAUUAUUAAUUAACCUAGAGGACAUCUGCUGUAGUGAAUAAAUUAUCCAUGAUUUAAAAGCAAAAUUCAAAGGUAGACAAGGCCACCUGCGGCCAUAGAGGCUGUGUAACUUCAGAAAGAACACUUAUGAGUUAAUGAUAGGAAUGGCACUCUCUGGAAUUGUACAAUCCAGUGUGCCUUAGUCAGAUAUAAUAGGUCAGGUUUAGCAAGACAGGCAUAAAGUUCUAGCCUUAACUUCAAAAUUCCAUAGAAUGUGGGAGACAUGAAAUAAGAAUGGCACAUGGGACUUUCGGCUAUUAGUUGACCAUGAAUAGCUCAGUGUGAUUCAAUAGUGAUAUGUAACUGCCCUCAAAAACUAUGAAAAGCUUAGAGUUUUAGCAGAGGAUGGUGUAUCUCUUAUGAGUGAGAUGAGAAGUCUCUCUCUUCAUGGCUGGUAGAAUGAAUCCAGAAUUGUCAACUUCACAUAAGUCUCAGAAUAUCCUCAACCCUGCCUUGUUUUAGGUGAAACUAAUGCACCAAUUAUUUCAUUCAUUUACAGAGAAACUUAAGCUAAUAUGUACAUUCAGUACAAUAAGUAAUACAGACCCCUCAACAGAAAAAAAACACCAGAAAUUAUCAAACUGAAUUUCUUCAAUUAAUUUCAAUUUAAUUUGUGUGGACAAAUAUGUAUUGGUUUUGACAAUAAAAUAUGUCAAAAUACUGUAGUGUUUAAAAUUCCCAUAUGGAAAUAUGGCACCAUGAUUGUAGCUUCUGAAUGAAAAACAGAGUUUUCAGUAAUUUGUACUCUUCUGACUACAUAGCACGGGAAGUUGAGAAAGAAAUUCUUCUAGGUUGAAUACUGGAAAAAUCAUCAUCUGUUUCCUCUACUCAGUCACUAGUAUACAAAGAAGGACUUAAGCAGAUUUGCUGAUUAAUUUAUCGGUAUCUAAACAUUUUGUUUUCUCUUAAUUCAGUGGAUGAGCUAUAGUACUGGAACAUUUAUAGCUAAACUUUGUUAUUUGGUUAUUGUCCUUAUAAAACCAACUUUUGCUGAUAAAACAUAUUAACACUUAUGGAUGCUUUAUAAAUCCGAUAAUACAGCUUUGAGAGCAUUUACUCUGUUUCCCACAAAUUUUAAUAAGCCUGGCCCAGCUUUUUCAACUGAAGCAAAUGUACAGACCUCUACACUUCAACAUGAAGACCUCCAGUUCACAAUGUGCAUAUCCAAAGCACUGAUACUAAUGCUGUAUCCAGAGAUUUCAAUGGGGAGGGUAAUCUGUAAUAACAAAAUUGUAUCCCUUCCUUCCUGCAAUUACCUCACUAUCCUCACAGCCUUGACAUCUGGAAACCCACUGCUACUGUAGCAGCUGUGACUCCUCUCCUAGCAGGAAGUUAACUACACAUUCCAAAGAGCACCAAUUGUUUUGAUAUUUUCUGGCAGCUCAAAAAGCUUGGAUAUUGGUGAACACAUUAUUUUGUGGCAACCACAUUUUGGAAUUAUACACAAAUGUACAACAUGUCACAAUCUGAACAACUUACAGGUGUUAAUGUUGUCUUUCUCUUAAUGAUAUCAUAUUCCAAAUUUAAUCAUUUUAAAUAUAGAGUAGUAUAUUAGAGAAUUAAACCUCAUUCUGCUCAUACUCACUUCUGCCAUCAUUUUCUCAAAUGAUUAACACGGAAGAAGACUUACCCAAAAAUAUGCUCCUAUUUAAGUCAUUGGAAGAGAAUUAAUUAAUUUGAGUUAGAAAGUAAGUAUUGUGAGAAUCAUCCUGCUCUGUAUUUGCCCACAUAGAACCUCUGUUAGCAGAGAUUUUCAGAUACUUAUUAAUUUUCUAGAAAUCGAGACCUCCAAAAGAAGAGCAGAACUAUUAAAUGUUGGGCAAAUCUAACUGCAUUUUAGUGUCACCAAAUGCCUAAAAUUAUUUUGUGUUUUUGAGCUGAUAAAUCUAUAUAUUGUUUAUUCAGAUUGCUCUUAUUCUUUAAAAAUAAUCAAAGGGAUGACUGCUGGAUUGAUUUACUGCAAAUUUAUCUUUGAAAUGGCUACAAAUAAUUGUUAUUCUCAUUUUAAGAGCAUUAGUGUCUUUUGUUCAUCAAAUUAAGAAUGAAAUGGAUUUUAGUACUGCCCUACAAUUACUUUGGUAAUCAAAAUGAUUGCCAAUGAUCUCCAAGAAACUAAACUGUCUUGCUACAGAACAGAUUGAGGAUUGUUUUGAUUCACAGAAAAGCUCUGCAAAAAUAUAAUUAAUUACAUAUGAUUUUGAUUUAGUUUAUAAUUUUAUUUUUUAUUUCUGUUUUCCCUCUUCCCUACAUUCUUUUAAAAUAUGGCAAAGUUUUCCAUUGUAUAUUUUUAUUUGACCUAAUUUCCAAUUAAAUUUAAUAUUUCUCCUUGCUUAAUUAUUUCUUCUGGAAUUUUACACUCAUAGUGAUUAAAUCUCAAUCUCCUCUCUCUUAUUAUCUUUCUUUUUUUAUUCUCUUUUUCUAUCACACACAAUUUAAUAGUUCAUCUUAAGUGAUUUCUGAUGCCUUGUAUUCAGUGACUCUAAUUUCUAAUAUCCUCUUCUUGUUAAAAAUAUUUUUGCAAUGUAUUUAUAAUAUCUUUUCUGUUACACUGAUUCUGUGUAUGUUUAAGCAUUUGAUCACUUUUAUUCAAGUGUUCCUAUGAUAACCAGAAGAUACUGUGCAUUCUCAUAUUAUUUUAAUGCUCCAAUGUAUACUGCAGGCUUAAAUAACCAUAAAAGCAAUGUUUGUUUAGAAAGUGACUGGUUUGUUUACCUUCACUGCUGCAGAAAAUCUCACUAGGCAAUUUGCCUGGGGCUGAUACUUGUAACCAUUAGCAAUUAUGGAUUCUAGAAAGACAUUGAUAGGAAGUUUUUAAAAAGCUAUUUCAAAAUCAGACACAAAAAAUACAACACAUUUUCUAGGAUUGUUUUUCUUGCCAUUCAUGCUGCUUGCCUUUCUUAUCUUAACUAAAAUUCACUUUUCAUCAGCCUGCAAUGAGUCACAAAAAAAUGCUGUAUCAAUCUUGGGUUGAUCCUGGACAUUCAUAGUCAGAUAAAUUAUUUUCAGAAUCAGCAAAGCAGAAUUAUUUUUAUAAAAUGGUGUCUUUACACAUCAUUGAUGUUUUGCAGAGGUCUGGACAAAAUGCCAGUGAUGUACUUUUAAUUGCCAAGCGAUCCACUUACACAAAGGAGACAUGGGCACACCAUUCUACCGUCAGGGCACUCAUCAUUUGACAUAUGUAUUGGACUUUAGGGGAAACACAAAGAGGAUGCCUGGGACACUGUUCUCAUCCUAUAAAGUCUUUACUAAUAAUAUGUCAAAGUUGAGUAAUAAUACACACUAAGUAAAAGCUUUUCAACAGAAGCAUCUCCAUUAAUCUCCACUUUGGGCCAGACAGCAAACGGAGCCUCUGUUUCUAUUAAAUACAAACUGAUCUGAAAUAUUUAGAACAAAGAAAGCACAUCCUUUCAGCUAAAAGUUAUAGAUAUCCUUUGCUACAUGACAAAUGGUUAAAAUUAUCAAAUAUUUAUAACAAUAUGAUUGAAGAGUUCAGUUACAGGCUUUGAUUUUGACGGUUUGCUUGUUGAUGAGUGUUGUGCAGAAAUGCCCAAUAUGUUUGAAUUGCUUCACUUUGAGCAUGAUUUGUGCCAGAAAUAGUGCUGAUUAAGCUGUUUUGUUUUCUUUUUCUUUUUUCCUACACAUUUAAAAAUCACUAUUUUCCAAAGACCUCUUGGUCAGAAACUUGCAUUUAAGAAUUUUGCUAUGCCAUAAUAUAAUAAAAUGUAUCAAGGCAGAAAAUAAAAUAAACAGAUGAUUUAUGCAUAAGACAUUUUGCCUUUAAGCUAUUCAAACCUGACUUUAGAGACGUUUAUUAUCAAAAGUUUCUCACCUGAUAACAUAAAUUUUGACAGAAUGGAAAUGUUAGUUUUGGCCAAUAAACAUACAGCCUUUAAUCAUCCCAAAAUUUUCACCUAGGAAAGAAACUGGAAAUAGUUCUUAAGUCUAAUUAGAAUAGAGAGACAAGUAACAUUUUUAAUACUAGAUUUAAUCUUGGCAAAAAUAUCUGUAUCUCUAACUCAAACUCACUAUCUACUUUUUAAAAAUAAUAUUGCUCAUCUUUUAAUAUAAAGGAGAAUCACCAUAUAAGCCAUUAAGACCCAAAAUACACUAGGUGCUGGAAACUAUCAUUGACAUACUGUCAUUCAAAAAUUACAUAUGAAUUUGGCAUAAAUGUAAUAGUUCAUGUACAAUGAGCCAUCAAGACUAUGUGCAAAUCCCAACAACUACUUCCUCUUUCUAGUUUUUUUAAAGAAAUAAGACAUAAUGAAUCUAUUAUGAGAAUCUCCCACAGUGUAGCUUCCCCUUAAUAAUGUAGUAUAUACAUUUAAAAUUACAAUGUAAUGCUUAAAAAUUGUUAGCAUUUUACAAUUUUUUAAAUUUAGAGACUUGAUCUGGAGAGCAUUGGUUGUGAUUCUGCAAAUCAUGCAGCAUAUAUUUUAUUACAGACUUUUAGCUGCUGAGGUUUCUUACAGAGGUCAAAUGUGUGUGUUUAUGUUCUGCUUAGUCUUAUGACAAAAUAUAUCACCAUUGCUUAAAAAGAAAAACAUAUAAAGAAGAGAACUACAAUGUUCUUAACUCCUAGCAUACAAAUGCCACUAAGCUGUCCACAUCAAGACAUUUGAAGUUAGCGUCUCAUCAUUUUAAACCCAGAUGUGUGUAUUUUGGGCACAUUUUUUUGAGCACUACAUAAUCAUAAUGUAACCUAAAA